ACGAACGCUGGCGGCGUGCUUAACACAUGCAAGUCGAACGGAAAGGCCCUGCUUUUGUGGGGUGCUCGAGUGGCGAACGGGUGAGUAACACGUGAGUAACCUGCCCUUGACUUUGGGAUAACUUCAGGAAACUGGGGCUAAUACCGGAUAGGAGCUCCUGCUGCAUGGUGGGGGUUGGAAAGUUUCGGCGGUUGGGGAUGGACUCGCGGCUUAUCAGCUUGUUGGUGGGGUAGUGGCUUACCAAGGCUUUGACGGGUAGCCGGCCUGAGAGGGUGACCGGCGACAUUGGGACUGCGAUACGGCGCAGACUCCUACGGGAGGCAGCAGUGGGGAAUAUUGCACAAUGGGCGGAAGCCUGAUGCAGCAACACCGCGUGCGGGAUGACGGCCUUCGGGUUGUAAACCGCUUUCGCCUGUGACGAAGCGUGAGUGACGGUAAUGGGUAAAGAAGCACCGGCUAACUACGUG
Molecule: ribosomal RNA, 467 nt
Filed under: uncultured bacterium
Lineage: Bacteria
Description: partial 16S ribosomal RNA
Rfam family: Bacterial small subunit ribosomal RNA
Source: RNAcentral